AGGUAACUAACUCAAUUGGUAGAGUAUCUCGCUUACAACGAGAAGGUUAGUGGUUCAAGUCUGCUGUUACCUA
This 73-nucleotide transfer RNA is filed under the name Flavobacteriales bacterium. RNAcentral describes it as "tRNA-Val". It matches the Rfam family "tRNA". Rfam says of the family: Transfer RNA (tRNA) molecules are approximately 80 nucleotides in length. Their secondary structure includes four short double-helical elements and three loops (D, anti-codon, and T loops). Further hydrogen bonds mediate the characteristic L-shaped molecular structure. tRNAs have two regions of fundamental functional importance: the anti-codon, which is responsible for specific mRNA codon recognition, and the 3' end, to which the tRNAs corresponding amino acid is attached (by aminoacyl-tRNA synthetases). tRNAs cope with the degeneracy of the genetic code in two manners: having more than one tRNA (with a specific anti-codon) for a particular amino acid; and 'wobble' base-pairing, i.e. permitting non-standard base-pairing at the 3rd anti-codon position. The record is from RNAcentral. Lineage: Bacteria; Pseudomonadati; Bacteroidota; Flavobacteriia; Flavobacteriales.